AGACAUGAUUAUGCCUGCAUAGGUGAGAUUUACAAUACACGUUGGGCCAUCAUCAUGAUUGUCCAGUAUGUAGGAUGAAUACAUUGUAUGUGCAAAACUCCAGACAAGACCCAAGAGAAUGUGAAGAGCUGAAAGACACCACCCCACACUUUACCUGAUGGUUGUGCCAUUGGUAACAAUCAUUUGUGCAAACCUAGUACUUCAGAGAAAAUAACACAGCCUAAAGAAAAUCAGGCCUUGAGUCAAAUGGAUCUUGACUGUGUUCAGCCUUCCCUGAAAACCAACUUUUUCCUGAGAAUGUGUAUGUAAAGGAAUUUUGAGAAUAUUUGAAGAAUGCAAAUAAUUAUAUUUUCUUAGUGUAGUUAAGAAAAGGAUGUGUGUGUGGGAGGAAGAGUAGACAUGCAGUGACUGCACUAACAAGUAUGGUCCCCCCAGUGUAUAUUUAAUAGGAUAAGGACAGUUUUUUGAAGUUAAUGGCAUAGAGUUACGAUUAAAGUAUAUGUGAUAUGAAGGAUGUAGGAAAGUCCAGAGUUUGUGUGCAAGCUCAUACAAAGAAGACAAGACUGAUUUUAUUAGUGUGGUCAUUUUUGUUUUUAAGAAAGUCCUGAAGGAUUCAUAGUUUAGAAGAUUUGCUUCCAAAGAUGCCAUAAUCUUCUGAAAUAAUACUCUAAAAAUCAAUGUAAAUGUAAAUGUUCAUUUCUAAUAUGAACAAAAUUAAUCAAACAUUUGUUACUAUUUCAUAGAUCCAGACUUUAUUAUAUGCCCUUCAUUUUAGGAAAAUUGAAAGCGUUAAGAACCUGCCCCCUGCUGUGCUGAGUUGGAGUUCUUGGUGCCUGGGUGCAUCCCCAAGGCCACUGGUCUUCAGAUCUUUCUUACUUGAGAAGAACGCCUCCACCUCCGGGCUCUCCCACCAGUGGUACUGCCACCACCACACACCAGCAUAAAGCACAGAUUGCUGCCCAGCUCCUUGGAGAGGGGCCAGUGCAUUUGUCAGGAAUUGAAAAGUUUUGGAGCCAGUUCGAGGACUUUCUGGUACACAAAGUGUUGGCUGGAAGCAUGCACACGUCAGGAUGCUGGAUUUCUUAGCAAACGCUCUCCUUGGAACCACAUUAUCAUGGGUCCGUAUGAUUAUUCCCUUAGGACUAUCCACUUGAGAGUAACGCAAUGGCCUCCACCUCCCAGCCUUUAGGACCUAAAUGAUGGAGUUAAAGAAUCAAACUUUCUUUUGAAAGCCAGUGGCAGUCCCACGUCCACGUCAGGUUUGAGGGGUGCUCUCCUCCCUGACUGGCUAGUAGGUGAGGUCCUUGGUAUGUUCAUCCCUUCUUACCUGAAGCCUCUCCCUCGUUUUAGUUCCGAUUGAUUUCGCCUUCGUUGUGCUCAGAUUUUGUGGGUUUGUUCAAACUGCUCUUGGGAGGAACACAAAAGUAUUAACAUUUUGCCGACUCCAGGACUUUAGAAAACUUAGGCUUGAGUGAAAAACAAACUGACGGAUUCAAAUAAUAUAAACGCACCCAAUUUCAGAUCGUAUUCUCUCUUGCCUUGUCUCACAAUGCUGGGCUGUCUCCCUUUGCAAAACAACUGCAAUCUCUACACGCCACUCCAACCUGCUCCGUGACAAAGCGUAAGGUUCCACCUCUGAGCAGGUAAAAUAUGUUUGUUAGGGAAGGACUGCUCGGCAGUAAGGAUGACAACAAUUAGCACAUGCUACUCAUUAACAAACGGAGAUUAGAACGCAGCCGAAAUGGCAGGCUGCCAUCAGUGUGAUAGUUACGGGGCAGUUUAAUUUCUAACGAAUGUGAGUGCUGGAUCAGUAACAAUAUUCGACAAAAUGCCGCCUGCAUUCUCUUAUGGCUUUCAUUACCAAAUUGAAAAUCUGUGUAGAUUUCUGAAAAUUACUUUUAAAUGUAGCCAAUCUCCUAGACUGCAAGGCUUGAUUUGCUGGUGAGGGAGCCCUGCUGUGAGAUUUUAAUGAAAGAUCAUAGUGGCCC
Molecule: long non-coding RNA, 1988 nt
Organism: Macaca fascicularis (crab-eating macaque)
Lineage: Eukaryota; Metazoa; Chordata; Mammalia; Primates; Cercopithecidae
Source: Ensembl